Molecule: unclassified non-coding RNA, 341 nt
Organism: Fukomys damarensis (Damara mole-rat)
Lineage: Eukaryota; Metazoa; Chordata; Mammalia; Rodentia; Bathyergidae
Gene: 7SK
Rfam family: 7SK RNA
About the family: 7SK was discovered as an abundant small nuclear RNA in the mid-70s but a possible function has only recently been suggested. Two independent studies have found that 7SK RNA binds the CDK9/cyclin T complex (known as elongation factor P-TEFb). P-TEFb activates transcription by phosphorylating the C-terminal domain of RNA polymerase II.
Source: Ensembl
GGAUGUGAGGGUGAUCUGGCUGUGACAUCUGUCACUCCACUGAUUGCCAGGGUUGAUUCAGCUGCUCUGGCUGGCUAGGCAGGUGUCCCCUUCCUCCCUCACUGCUCCGUGUGUGUCCCUCCUCAAACUGCACCCUCCUUCCCAAAGGACACCACCCACCCCCACCCCCACCCCCACAAAGGGGGGCGGUUUCCUCUGUCAGGACUAUGCAGUAGCUGUGCUCCCCUGCUAGGACCUCCAAACAAGCUGUCAAGAUUGAAACCAGGGCUUUUGCACUAAGCUACAUCUCUAGCCCCUUUUUAAAUGUUUUGUUUUGAGGCAGUGUCUUCCUAGAUUGCUUA